Long non-coding RNA from Parus major (Great Tit), 6989 nucleotides. RefSeq lists it as uncharacterized. The record is from RefSeq and is a predicted model, not a curated record. The transcript is spliced from 2 exons. Lineage: Eukaryota; Metazoa; Chordata; Aves; Passeriformes; Paridae.
UCUGAAUGACAAACAUGAUGUUUGUAAAUAAAUGCACUGAACCAGGAUGCAGGCAUUGUGCAGACUUUCUCACUCUUGAAGUCUCUCAAGGACAACCCAAUACUUAACCUAAUUCAAGCCAAGCAACUGCCCCAAAAAUGAUCCUAUAGGGAGAAGCCUUACAGUACUACACAGUUUCUUAAAAGGAUGUUAUUGACAAAGAAAUAGAUUCAUUUCUACCAGCACAUUUUCACAACCAGUCCUGAAAUGAUACUAAAUUAUACUCCUGAAUUCAAGGUCAUUUAAUUCAUUUUGUAUCGACCAGGCUGAGAAAACUGAGCUUGGGACAAAAACUUUGCAUUUACGGAUGACAAAUAAAAACGCUGUGCUCCCAAAACUGAACAGAUAGUUAUUCACCUUACGAUUGAUUAUCAUGCUACUGGUUUGAUUUUCAGCUAUUGGGAACUAAAAGAAACUGGAGGAAAAAGCUUUCAAAGCAAAAGCAGUGAAAUCCAAGUAAUGUGGUACCCAGCAUCCCACGCUGUAUCAGUUGGAAUCCAGACAUGGAAGGCACUUCAUGUUCUACAAUCAUCACCUGUUCUUCCAGAACAUAUUUUUGAUUAAUAACCUCAGAUUAAUUAAGGUUGUAUACUCAGUUCUAAAUUAUUCCUUUCCCUUUUUCAAUAUAAUUAAUUAUAUAUCCUAACGUGUGCAUUUUUUGAGGAAAUUGUUCUGCCUCAUACUCUGACAUUUAUCAAAGAUUUUGGGGUUUUUAUUUUAUUUCACUCCUACACAAACGUACUUCAAAAUCAAGUUUCUUCUGCCCAGAAAGAUGUACUCUUCCCUAAUCAGCCACAUGCAUGCUAAGUUGGUUAAACUUAAAGUACUCAUAACUCAAAAGCAAAAUAAAAACCUCACUAAGCAAAACUGCCUCCUCCGAAGAUCUUGCUCUGGUCUGUUCCUAACAAUCUAUGCUGUAGGAAAAAAAAAAAUCCACUGUAGAAAAGCACAUCCUUGAAAGUAUAUAAAUUAUACCAAAGUUUUGCAUGACACACAUUCCAGAGAAAUUAAAACUGUAAGUAGGUUUACAUGUUAUCAUUUUGUAAUAACUUCAUAAUAAAAAUCAGAAAAAAUUCCUCACAAAAAUUCUUCGCUUUAAAAAACUAAGGUAAAGAACAGGAAGGGUACGAGGUGGUCACAUUUGGGCUGAAAGUAUGAGUAAGAAAUUUAUAUUCACUACUUUUUAUCAAGUCUAACCAAUUUUAAUAGAAUUGAGAAUGGAAGUGACUCCACUAGUUCAUUUAUACAGCAUCUCCACAGAAAUACAAGAAUACAAAACACCUCUGCAGAUUUCACAGAGGAGCUUUACACCUCAUUACACUCGAGAUAAAAAUCUAAUGCUCUGGAAGAUUCAAUAUGUAGCUUAAAAGAUUUUAGUAAUUUUAAGAGUGGAGUCUCACCUUUUGUUAAUAUUUGUUUAAUAUGCAAUUAAAUUCCACUUCUAUUGGCCCUCAGAUGAGGAUGGUGAAUGGGAGAAGGGACUGUAUCAUAUCACUGACAUGCCUUCUAAAUGGGACAUUUGAAUUUGUAAACUCCUUCCUUCUCUAUGAGAUGGGAAGCAACAUGUGCUACAAAGAAUAGGCACGUAUUGAACCUCCUUUGAUUAAGAUCAACAGCCGAGAUUUGCUGUCAGGACUGCAGCCUCUAAGCACAAAAGAAUAGGCAAUAUACUGUGUCUGGGUUAGCAAUUCAACAGGGCUGCUUGCACAGGCAGGCAAACUUGAAAAAAAAAAAUCUGUUUAAUUGUAUUUAGUUGUCUGCCUGUCUGUUUCACUUUAAAUGGGGUGAAUUAUUUCCACAUUCCUGAGCAGACUUGCAGAUGCCUGUCAUUCCAGUAAUAUUUUUGUGUUCUUUUCAUCCCCAUCUUUCUAAUCAAUUUAUUUGUCUUUUUGAAGUGGUGUUAUACUCAAUGUCCCCCAUACUUCAAAGGUAUUCCAGAUUUCAGAAGCAGUCCUGUUCUUUGAAAUUAAACCCUAGUUCCCAUUUGCCACCUAUGUGUGUAAAAAAAAGAAGCAGUAUGCUAGGACAAAGUCUUUCCAAUGAAAUAUUGGAAUGUACUGAGAACAACUGCACCAACAGAAGAGGUAUCUUAAAUUUAGUUCUGAUUGUAACAGAGAAGAGCUCACAAAGAGACUUAAAGUAAUGGCUAAUAUAUAUGAAGGGAAUCACUGAAUAUUGAAGACAAGAAGCUCUCCACAAAAGAAAUGUCAACAAAUUGGGUAAAAUGAUUAAUAGAAAUUAUGUGGAAGAAGUUCCUAAAAGGUAAAGGACUACAGAAUUGCUGGCAGACACUAAAAAGCAGGCUGCACUGAAGAUGCCAUCAAAUUGUCCUGAUGCAGAGGAAGAUGUUUAUGGCUUCAGCAAGAGCUCUUCAGUGCCCUGGAUGUCAAGUAUUUGACACACAAUAUAAGUACAAAGAAAAACGUAAGCAUGGAAAGCAAAUAUCAGGAAGACCAUGACACAAAUACAUUGCAACUACUAAGAGGCAUAAAUGAUAGCAAGGGAGUUUUUGUGAAUGUUUUUGAAGUUAGAGGACAAUGAAGGACAUGGAACUCCAUUGCCAAAUAAAAGCUUUAAGUCUGCAUUUAAUGCAAUUAAUUUAAAUAAAAAAGAAAGAGAGGCUGAAACAUAAGGAGAACAGGUUAAAAAUAUUUAAAUGAGCUUGGCCUAUUUAGGGUGCAAAGGUUUCAUGAAAUUCACUCUAGAGCAUUUUUAAGAAACAGCCUCUGAAAUUUCAAACACAUUUUUGAGAAUUUGAGUAAAAUGGUCCCAGAGGACUGCAAGAGAAGAGACUUUGAAAUUCACAAAGAUAUUAGAACAAGUUACUGAACAACCAACUGCAACAUGUUGAAGGUGUUGAAGAAGUCGAGAUUUUUUAUGUCAGAAGCCAAUUCAGCCUAUUCUGUUGGCCUUGUAAGAAAAGCAAAGUUUUUGACAAUGGGGGUGGUGAGGCACUGGCACAGGCUGCCCAGAGAAGCUGUGGAUGCCCCCAUCACUGAAGAGUUGAAGGCCGGGUUGGAUGGGGCACUGAGCAGCCUGGUCUGUUGGAAGUGUCCCUGUCUGUGGCAGGAAGCUUGGUUCUAGACAAUCAUCAAAGGGUCCCUUCUAACCCAAACGGUUCUAUGACUAUAUUUGAUACAUCUUCAUGUUCACAAGGUUUUCUGACUCCACAACACAUGACAUUCUUGAAAGCAAGCCCAGUUGUCAAAUCUCCUUUUCUCCAUGCUUCGCCACGAGGCUCACUGGCUUGUUAAUCACACUUGAAAGAGUUCUUGUAGUUCUGCAUCCAGCAACAAGAACAGUCAUAAAAUCAAAUCUGACAGCUUGUUCUCCUACAAGGCUACUGACUAAGAAUGCUCUUUCGAUUUUAAGACACAUGAAAUGCUCAAAUCAUUUUAAGUAAUACUGCUACUGCAGUGCUCAAACUAAUUACAGACAUGUGGAAAGGUUUAAUCCUGAUGUAACCAACCUUCUCCCACAUCAUCAGGAGAGAGCACUAGCCAGCACCAGGGCAUAAUAGAGACUUCUCUUGAAGACAGAGUGGUAGAACAAAGAUUGAAACAUUUUAUACAGAAAGGAGGAAAGGGAAGCAAACAUAUCUGACUUCUAGCAUGUCACAGUGUGUUAUCAAAAUAUUUUAUUUAAAUGGAUUUAUACUCCUUUCUGUCAGUUACCAAGUUAAAAUGCUACAGGAAGUGAUAUUCUUUACCUAGGGACUUGCUCCUCUUUUCCAUAUAUUUCAGCAAUACUGUAUUACACUGUCUGUCAUAUAAAAAUCUGGUAUUUCUUCACUAAUUCAGUGAAAAUGGCCAAAAUAAUUACUUGCACAUGAUCGAGUGAUUUGCAGGGUGGAAAAAAGAAGCCAAGCUACUUUGAAACAUGAAUGUAAGUAUUCUGCUUCCUAUGAUCAGUCCACAAUUUCAAGAUUCAAGGCUACAGGAUCUUUGUCAUAAAAGGCCUAGAUAUUUAAUUUUUUAAGCUAUUUAAGCAUUUUCUGCUUAUCAAAAUUCAGUCAACAGGUCAAGACAAAAGUGUAGUGUAGGAAAAAAAAAUCUACUUUUUCAUUAACAACACUCUUCAACUGAAAUCUCAUUUGUUUACUCCAUUUAUAUCUGGUCAGAGAAAUUACAUACUGGAUAUAAUGACAGAGACACAAUAAACACAGAAAUUAAAUUCUACUACCUUGUCCUAGAGUUGCAGAUCUGGUUAAAGAGGCAUCCUCCUGUCCUUUGAGUUGCCUUUUAAGUUCUUCUGCAGAUUCAGAAUGCAGCUGCAGGAAGUCUUUAGUGGCAGCUGAAGCCUCCUCUUUAAUGGGAUUUAUCAUUCUCUGCAGAACUGGGAUGUCUUCCUGCCGGACUCGCAAACAGAGUUUCUCCAUCUCUCUCAUAUUGGCACGGAGUUGCUGCAAGAGUAUUAAAAUUAUUUUGUAGCUUACUGUGUGAGCACAUCAGACACUUCUAGUGCCUGGGAAGCACCUAUUGUCAGGAGCAAGGGAGAAACAUUUUUGAAUCCAUCACCACCAAUACUUUCAUUUUUCUGGCUGUCAGUUCUGUACUUUAUCCACUUCUUCAAGACAGUUUAAUUUUGGGUUUCAAUUAAAGUAUUUAACUAAUUAAUUCACUAUGUAAUUCCUGAAGUUAUUUAUGUUUCUCUGGUCAAUUUAGGUCUCUUCCAAAAUAUAUACACAAACUGCAAUAAUAUCCAAGUAAGGUAAGUGACUACUUCUCAAAAUUUCCUUUUUUUUAUAAUGAGUAGUGACUGUGAUCAUCACAGACCUCAGGAUAUAAUAAUUCAUAAUCCCCUACUACCCCAAGACAACUUCAGGGACAAAGGAGAAAAGAUUACUUUUUUAUUUUGAUUUUUUUUCUUCAGAUGAAGGAUAAAUAUAUUUAUUUGACUGGAAUAUCACAUUCAAUAAAAUAUAUUAAUAUUUCUAUAGUUACAAGACUUCUGAAAAGAGAUAAACUGCUCAUGACCACCAAGAAGAGUAUAUGUGCAGGCAUUUCUCAUGAGAUAUGUUUCUUUCUGAAUUAAAAAUAAAGGGCUUUUUCAUUGCCUGGGCAUUAAAAAGGCACACAAAUUUUCUCAUACCAGAAACGAAAAGAAGAAAUUUACAGUUUAAAUUACACCACUUAUUGUUUUAAGACAGAGUUUUUAUCUAAUUAUUAAAAAUAAAUAAAUAAACUGUAAUAAAAGUAUAUUCUCUGCAUUACUUUACAGUGAUACAAUAAAUUCUAUUCUUUGUCGCAUUAUUUACCAAUUGUUUUGAAUAUUCUUCUUACAACAGAACAAGAGAAUGGGUUGACACCAAUGAGUGGUUAGAAACAGAAAUGUUUUCUUCCAGAAUACAAACCAGGUAGAGGUAAUGCCUUAGAAAUGUAAAACUGGCCAUCUGGAAAAGCAAGAACUAGAUGGAACUAAAAUUUGAUUUAUAUACACUAGUGGAAUUAAUUGUUUUUAAUAUUUAUGAAAAAAAUAGUAGAAAAUAUAAUUAGAGAAGAAGGAAGGAAAUUAUUCAACAACGUGGUGAAGUAACACUGCACAAGCUUCCAAGAAAGAACUAUUGAUUUGUUAAAAUCAUGUAUCAAAUUACUAAGAUUAGAUUAUAUUGUAUGCUUAAAUUAAGAGUACCAUUAGCCAAAUUAGGCUGCAUUAUUCAAGACUAACCUCAGGUAAAACCACUGAUUGACAAUUAAAAAAAGGGAGAUACAAAAAGAAAAAAACAAUACUGGAAGACACUGAGCUGAGUUAGAAACAUGGUAGGCAGUAACUUUCAUCAAACAUUGCUCAUCUCAGUCUACCUCAUACUCCUGGUAUCUUCCCUCCAAGGUCUGCCCCUAAGUACUGAAAAAAGGAGAAUGUCACCACUGUCAUGGUGUACCAUGUGCCAAAACUCUUGCUUUAUAGUCUUGGAAUUUUAUCUAAGAAACAAAGUGGGACUAUCUAAACACAACACUCAACCAUCUAAUUUCUUAGAACUAUAUGUAAUGACUGAGAUUGAUCAUGCUGUUUUAUUUCAUGAAAAAAAGAAAUUAUUAUUAUCCUGUCUUUGGCCACAAUGAAGACAAAAAAAAAAAAAACAACAAAACAACAACAACAACCCAGACAUGGCAAACAAAAACCUGUAGAACAGUGACAACUGUGAGUUUGGGGUGAGAUAAAAAUGGUUCCACAGUAGCUUCUUUUUGAAGAAAAAAGAGAAUUUUGCCAUUGAAAUUGAGUUAAAAUGUAGUUCUGCUUAGGAUCUGUACCAUUACAAGUUUGUGCAGUGACCAACAAAACACAACUGGCUGAUGGGAAUUUACACAGAUCCUGAUUAGAAGUUUCAAGAGGUAUGAAACUACUCACUGAUCCUCACUUUCACUGUUCAUUAUUACCUUGCUGGUCAAAGAGAAAUAUUUCUGAGCAAGAAGACAGAGAAAUCAGAUAAUGAUAUUUUCUUAUUUAGUAAAAUUUAAUUUUAGUAGCUCUUCCUUUAUGGAUUUGAAUAGAGGAGUCUUGUUCCACUUACUAUGAAUUAAACAAACAGUGAAUGGAUUCAGCCUAGCAAGCAAGUUCAGCCCUGCUGUGAGGAGACACAUCCCAGGAGCUCACCAGAAUGUGACAUCAUAAAUGUUAUGGAUAUGCAAAUGACUGUGACUACUUAUCAUUAUAAUUACAAUGGCACAGAGUUUAAUUUCUAGGUAGAGCAUAAAAGUGUAUCACUCUCAUCCCAACUGUUUGCACUUUUAAAACCAAGCUUAGCGAGGAAGGUAUUUCAAAAUUCUCUUUUCAUUUGUGGGAACUCCUGAGUUUCUAACUCUGCAAGUUCAGUCCAAAACACACAGAAUUUUUCUUUAUAAUAAUUGCAGUUUUGGUCCAAAAUCAAACUUCCAAAAUCAAACUACAAUUUUUGUUUCAAGUGGCCUUCUCACAAAAACUGUAGGAAAAUAAAACUGGUGAAAACCUUG